RNAcentral lists this transfer RNA (69 nucleotides) under Paracladura trichoptera. Its description in RNAcentral is "tRNA-Gln". The record is from RNAcentral. Lineage: Eukaryota; Metazoa; Arthropoda; Insecta; Diptera; Trichoceridae.
UAUACUUUAGUGUAUUGUCACAAUAAUUUUUGAUAUUAUUAGAAUUAGUUUGAUUGCUAUUAUGUAUAA